UGUUAAAUGCAAUUUUUAUUUUAUUUUAACCAUUCAAUUCCUAGUGCAUUUCAACUGCGAUUCAAUUUUCGUCAAAUGCACACAUGAUUAUUGAAUGUGUCUGUUAAAGAGCUGUGUUCAUUUACGCUAGCCAUUCAGUUUCACCGAUCAGUUUCAACCUUGGGAAGAGGGUGUGUCAGAAGAUGUUAGUUGCUUAACCCAUAUGCAUCUACAAGCGUACUAGUGCGCUGCUGUUUUUCUGGCCGAUAACACCAUAGGCGUACUGGUACGCAAAAUGGCUAAUCUGCCCGAAAAUCUUGAAACAAUCCCUUUAGAAUGAAAAUAACCCCUCAGAGUAGCUUGUAUUGUUAUAACAAAGGUAUAUUAUCGUGAAACUUAAACUAUUUUUAAAAUUUUAUUUAAAUAAUAAAAAUAUAAUGAAAAUAGAAAAUAGGUAACUCUAAUAAUAGUAACAUAUAAAAAAGUUUAUGGAUUCCAUGGUAUGUCUAACAUUAAAGUGAGUGGAUGCAAAUGGGUUAAAUGUAGCUUAUAUAAGGAGUGGGAAGAGGAAAAUGUUAUUAAAAAUUGUGAAAAUUACUUGUCCACUCCUUUGGCUCCCACCCGAGAGAGGAAAGGUCAAGUAGACAGGUAGCCUUCUUUUGUGUUGCCCUGCCGCAGGGCAGCUGGGUGGUGGGUGGCAGUGGCAAGUGCCAUAAAAAGAGGCACCUAUGGCCAGGUGUUGGGGCUCUGGCAACGGGCCUGGUGGGGGCACAUGUUUCUGCAUGGGCCACCAGUCAAGAAGUAGCGGGAGUGCCAUGGGGUCAUGCCGACCAACCCAUGCUCAGGUGUGGCUGUUUUCCCGGCAGGACAAUUUUGCGGAGUACUUCCAGUGGUAUCUAAGCGUUCGGGUCGUUGUAGCUAGGGUGGUGGAUUUGCAGGAGACUGUUUUCCUGGCAGACCAAUUUUUCGGGGUACUUCCAGUGGUACCCAAGUGUUAGGGUCGUGGUAGCCUAGGAUGGUAGAUUUGCAGUGGGCUGUUUUCCUGGCAGACCAAUUUUGCAGGGUAAACUACCCCCCUGCUGUGUCUACAAGGUACGAGGCAGGGUGCAAGGGUUGAACCCAGGUCAUGCAUCAGUGUUUCCUGUCCCUUCCGUCAAGGUUGGCAGGGCGCCGGCAAAGGGCCCAGGCGAGAAAAAAGUAACUGACAGUAGUGAGAGAGAUAGAGGUCAAUUCCCUUGCAAACAGGUAGGCAUUAAGUUAUGGACAGGGUUUUAUUGCAAUAGGGUUUAGAAGUACACCCUAAAGCAUCCAAACUUCCUUAGUUCUCGACCGCAGCAGUGUCAGGGUCUAGUGGCGAACGGGCGCAGGCAGCAAGAGCACUGCUCACAGCCCUAAGACAACCUCCAGGCACAGGCAAGGUCCCAUGUGCUAGUAGAGCAUGGCGGAGGGGGAACUGAUGUCAGUGCCCGUGAUUGUGGCGCGGACAAGCGACAAUCUGAAGCAAUAAAAUCAUAUACUGUUACAUGGAUUGCAAUAAAAUAAAGCUACCUUUUUCAAAAACAUUGCGUGAAUGGCAUGUGCAAAUAAUCAAGCAGGACAGAACAGAACAUGACAUUCAUUUCAAAGAGGGAAUACCUAUCAAAAUUAAGCUAUGUGUUAAUAGCACUUGAGAUAUUUAGGUACUGUACAUGAGACUAUUCAGUGUCUCUAAGCAAUUCCAAGGUGUCUAGUGACCGGGAAAGCCGGGAAUUGUACGGAAAUUAUAACUGCCAGGAAAAAUCCGGGAAUUGUAACAGGAAUUUUUCAUAAAUCCGGGGAUAAAAACAAAGUUUUAUUAAAACGUGUUAUGCUGCAUUUCAUUUCUGGAUCAUCAUCGCUGACCAACAAAUACCGUUAAAAACUAUCAAUAAGUUUUAAGUGGGACGCGAGUCUUCACAGGUCCAUGCGGCGCCCGGAGACAGCGCGAUAGACUUGGCAACACUGCUUGUGUGACUCACCCACGCGAGCGCACACACACACACCAGUUCACAAUCUCUCGUUCAGACGUCUGGCGCCGUCUAACAGCAUUCUGCCGCCGUUUUCCGCUAUCCAGUGUUUGUGUUUCGUUGCAAUGCGUGUAUGUGGAUUAUUAAGUAUUUACAGUAAAACGUAAGUACUGCUUUAAUUUUCCAAAGUGGAAUAUUUGCAUUCAGAGGUGGCGGAAUUUGUUGCUAAUAAUUAGAGACCUGAAAAAAUCGCGAUCGCGAUAAACUCGAAAAAUAACGCGAGUUGUAAUGUUUUGAAGUUAAAAGCGAUUUCAUAAUUUUUUCAGACUUUUUCACGAAUUUCUACGAAUUUUGCAUGAAUUUGUGCAUUUUCACGUCUUUCCCAUCUCAGAAUACAACACCAAAACCACCCGAUAUCGUCACGUACCAAGCUUAGCUGAAAAACUACACGUUGUGCAUCGAAACAGCGUUACGUAUGCCUAUUUUAACCGCUGCUGAUUUUCAUAACCUCCUUUAAAAUGUCCGGGAAGGUUGCUGUCUUUUGAUAAGUAAAUUCAAACAUAUUCUGUUUGAAUUUUUAUACUCUUAAGUUUUAAAUUUAAAAGGUAAACCAAUUACAAAACAGAAUCUCUGUAAAAUCUUAUUUAUACAUUUGGUUUCGGUUCAGUUUUUUUUAAUUAUAUGCAGUCAAAUAAAAUUGCAAAUAAAAGUAAAAUAACCUCGCUUUUUGUUGCAAAUUUUGCGAAAAAUAACACCGCUUUUAAGAAAAAAUAACCACUCUUUUUUCAGGUCUCUAUAUAAUAAUGUAUGCAUUGACAAAACACAUUUCUUUGCGUUGUUUGGCGUUCAGUUUCCUUGCAAAGGUCGUAUCCCUAUGCCUAAGCAAAAUUAAAUACUUUUCCAACAAAUAAGUUACCUUAUUUACCCGUGUAAACGCCCCAUUCUAAACUUAAAAUAUUUUAGAGAGAAAAUUUUUAAUGUUCUUUUGUUUACUCUGGAAGGCACAGUACUCCAUCAAACUGCGUGCGCACAUACAUUUCACUAGUCAGUAAUUUUGUGAACAUAAUUCUUUUAUUGAUAGCCUCAUUGAUAAACUUAAUAAAUUGAAAUAGUGAUAAUAGGCGGGAGAAAAUAGAUAUCACGUGCGUGCGCUUGUCCCGUUCCUGGGUAAACAUACUGUAUUUCUUUUGUACAAAUUGUAAACACAACUUUGCAAUUUUCGUGCCUUGUAGCUUCCAGAAAUUAUAUAAAAUUUACUAUCUUGCAAUAUUAUGUGGUUUGUUGAAACAUUUUUUUGUCCGUCACCCGAUGUCUGGGACAUCGAGGUCUGAGAUAUAUAGGGUUUACUGUAUACCUGACAAUACCUGCUACAGAUAUUAACAUUUUGGCCAAAAAGAAUAAAGAUUACACUACAUAUUUGUUAGAGACAUAGUAUGAAGCAUUCACACGAGUAAAUAUGGUAAUGAAAAAUUGAAGUUACCUAAUAGUAAUUUUAUAAUUUUUAGGGACUUGAAAUGGCUCGUCGGGUGAGAGGGAAAAUUUCGUUUCAAACGGAUUGGAAAGUAGAAUUCCCUUGGGUUGAAGACAUCAAGGAUGAUCGUCACUCUGCUAGGUGUGCAGUCUGUGGGACUACUUUUUCCAUUACUUCCAUGGGAAGAACAGCUCUUACAAGCCAUGCCAGUGGAAACAAGCAUAAGAAAAAUGUGAGUAGUGUAGAUAAGACAGCGCCAAUUCAAAUUUGGGCUACUACAUCUGCCCCUGAAACAUCUAAAGCAUCUGAACCUUCACCUUUACCAUCUUCAUCUGUAAUUCAACCUUCGUCAGCUGCUGUUAUUCCUGGUGCGAGUAUGAAUCUACCUGCUGAAGAUUCGUUAAUCCCGAAAUCUGCUUCUACAACCCGCUGUUUGGAUAAUUUUCUUCUUAAAGACGAUGUGACUCGUGCCGAAGCUUUGUGGUGUCUUGAAACGGUGAUGAAUCAUAACUCCUUACGCAGCGCUGCUAGUAGCGUAAACAUGUUCAAGCGAAUGUUUCCCAACGAUCGUGUUGCAAACAAUAUGAAACUUCAAAAAGAUAAAAUUUCAUAUGUCAUAGUUUAUGGACUUGCUCCUUAUUUUUAUGAUAAGUUGAAAAGUGUUUUGAAAGAGUGUGAACAUUUUGUGUUGGGUUUUGAUGAGAGUGUGAACAAAAUUGCACAGAAACAACAGAUGGACUUGUCUGUCAGAAUUUGGGACUCAAAUGUAAAUAAAGUUAUGUGUAGGUAUGUAACAUCCAUCUUUUUGAAUCACGCUACAGCUGAAGAUCUCUUACAAGCCAUGAAAACUGGCUUGGAAGGAUUUGACAUGAUGAAGAUUAUCCAAUUAUCAAUGGAUGGUCCUAACGUAAAUUUCAAAGUACUUAGGCUUUUACAGCAAGACAGCAGAUCUGACCCAGAAUCCCCACAGUUACUAGAUAUUGGUUCUUGUGGUUUACACACAGUGCACAAUGCCUUUAAGACAGGCAUCAAGAAAUCUGGUUGGGAGAUAAUUGAGUUUCUUAGAGCCCUUUACAAUUUGUUUAAAGAGGCUCCAAGUCGACGAGGAGACUAUACAGAGGCUUCAAACUCACACGUGUUUCCUUUGAGGGUUUGCUCAAUUCGUUGGAUUGAAAAUGGCAAAGUAGCGAGGAGAGCAAUGGAAAUAUUGCCACUUGUUGAAAAAUAUGUCAACAUAGUCAAAACCACAGCAAAGGAACCAUCUUGUAAUAGCUUUUCUGUUGUAUGUAAAGCCCUGCAAGACAAACUCCUGCAAGCGAAAAUAGCUUUCUUUGAGGCACUGGCAAGUGACGUUGAACCAUUUUUGGUAGAAUUCCAGUCUGAUUCUCCAAUGGCACCAUUUAUUUUCGAUAGUUUGACAUUUAUUGUAAUGACUGCUAUGAAAAGAAUUGUGAAAACCGAGAUUAUUGAGAAAACUCCUCUUCACAAAAUUGAUGUUUUCAAACAGAAUGCAGAUAAGACUUUUGUAAAUCUCAAGGAUGUGAAACAUGUUGAGCUUGGUUACAGUACCCGUGCAGCACUAAGGAAGUGUAAGAAUGCCUCUGAGAAAGAUAUUUUAAUUUUCAGAAAAGAGUGUCGGAAUGUCCUGCAAUUUUUUGUGAGUAACCUGUUGCUGAAGUCUCCUCUGAAGUAUUCUCUUACCAAGGCUCUUACUUUUUUGAACCCUUAUCAUAUUUCUUCCAAAGAUAGUUGUGUAAAACAACUUACUACUGCUCUUGACCACCUCCUUACGGCCAAUCUUCUGCCAGCUAGCACUGUUGAAAGGGCUGAUAGAGAGUACAGGUUUCUUUGCUCGCAAUCAAAUGUCAUUGAAGAAAUGAAAACCUACUCUAAGUCUGAAACUCGCUUGGAUACCUUCUGGGUGCAGCUUAUAGAAGGAAAGAAGGAAUAUGAGAACCUCUUUAAAGUAGUCAAACUACUUUUAAUUUUGUCUCACGGCAGUGCUAACAUCGAACGAGGAUUUUCAGUGAACAAAGAAAUUUUAGUCGAAAAUCUGAAAGAACCAUCACUCAUAGCCCAGCGUCGUAUUUUUGAUUUUGUUAGUAAUGAGCCGGGUGGACUGAUGAAGCUAGACAUUCCUAAAGCCAUGAUUCAUGCAGUGAGGAAUGCUUAUUCCAUGUACAGUGAGGCACUUGCAGAGCAGCAGUGUGCAAAUAAGAAAAUUUUCAAGCUAGCGGAAGAAAGAAAACGUGCAGCUACUGAGAUCAAACAGCUUGAGGCGAAGAAACUCAUGUUGCUUGAGGAUGUACAGCGUGCAGUAUCUGCCAUCGAUGAGAAGGUGAAAGAUCUUAAAAAAUAGUACAUAUAGGGCUGUGUAUUGCAUGACACUAUACAGUUAAACUUCUCACAGUUUUGUACUAGUGUGACUAUGGACCAAACAAGCUGCAAGACAAUUACUAUCGAACCAGGACAAAUGAAAAAUUCCAAUGUUUUAAUAAUGAAUUUGAAGUUCCAACAUUUCCAGUGAGAAGGUGAUGUCUUCGGUAUUGAUGAAGUAACUAUUUAUGAAGGAAAAUGGAGUGACAAAGGGUAUCUGGUUGCUGGGGAUGUCUUGGAU
This is an RNA transcript of Bacillus rossius redtenbacheri, 6052 nucleotides long. It is a transcript of the gene named complement component 1 Q subcomponent-binding protein, mitochondrial, with no coding region annotated. Lineage: Eukaryota; Metazoa; Arthropoda; Insecta; Phasmatodea; Bacillidae. The record is from RefSeq and is a predicted model, not a curated record. The transcript is spliced from 2 exons.